CUUCGGGGGACAAAGUGACAGGUGGUGCAUGGUUGUCGUCAGCUCGUGUCGUGAGAUGUUGGGUUAAGUCCCGCAACGAGCGCAACCCUUAAGCUUAGUUGCCAGCAUUAAGUUGGGCACUCUAAGUUGACUGCCGGUGACAAACCGGAGGAAGGUGGGGAUGACGUCAAAUCAUCAUGCCCCUUAUGAUUUGGGCUACACACGUGCUACAAUGGACAAUACAAAGGGCAGCUAAACCGUGAGGUCAUGCAAAUCCCAUAAAGUUGUUCUCAGUUCGGAUUGUAGUCUGCAACUCGACUACAUGAAGCUGGAAUCGCUAGUAAUCGUAGAUCAGCAUGCUACGGUGAAUACGUUCCCGGGUCUUGUACACACCGCCCGUCACACCACGAGAGUCUGUAACACCCGAAGCCGGUGGAGUAACCAUUUAUGGAGCUAGCCGUCGAAGGUGGGACAAAUGAUUGGGGUGAAGUCGUAACAAGGUAGCCGUAUCGGAAGGUGCGGCUGGAUCACCUC
RNAcentral lists this ribosomal RNA (513 nucleotides) under uncultured bacterium. Its description in RNAcentral is "bacterial SSU rRNA". It matches the Rfam family "Bacterial small subunit ribosomal RNA", at positions 1017 to 1529 of the family's 1533-position model. The record is from RNAcentral.